UAGAGUUUGAUCAUGGCUCAGAUUGAACGCUGGCGGCAGGCCUAACACAUGCAAGUCGAGCGGCAGCGACAACAAAGAUUCUUCGGAGGAUUUGUUGGGCGGCGAGCGGCGGACGGGUGAGUAAUGGCUGGGAACCUGCCCUGACGUGGGGGAUAACAGUUGGAAACGACUGCUAAUACCGCAUGAUGUCUUCGGACCAAAGAGGAGGACCUUCGGGCUUCUCGCGUCGGGAUGGGCCCAGUUGGGAUUAGCUAGUUGGUGAGGUAAUGGCUCACCAAGGCGACGAUCCCUAGCUGGUUUGAGAGGAUGAUCAGCCACACUGGAACUGAGACACGGUCCAGACUCCUACGGGAGGCAGCAGUGGGGAAUAUUGCACAAUGGGCGCAAGCCUGAUGCAGCCAUGCCGCGUGUGUGAAGAAGGCCUUCGGGUUGUAAAGCACUUUCAGCAGUGAGGAAGGGUGAUGAGUUAAUACCUCAUUAUCUUGACGUUAGCUGCAGAAGAAGCACCGGCUAACUCCGUGCCAGCAGCCGCGGUAAUACGGAGGGUGCGAGCGUUAAUCGGAAUUACUGGGCGUAAAGCGCAUGCAGGCGGUUUGUUAAGCAAGAUGUGAAAGCCCCGGGCUCAACCUGGGAACCGCAUUUUGAACUGGCAGGCUAGAGUCCUGUAGAGGGGGGUAGAAUUUCA
RNAcentral lists this ribosomal RNA (685 nucleotides) under uncultured Vibrionaceae bacterium. RNAcentral describes it as "bacterial SSU rRNA". It matches the Rfam family "Bacterial small subunit ribosomal RNA", at positions 1 to 671 of the family's 1533-position model. Lineage: Bacteria; Pseudomonadati; Pseudomonadota; Gammaproteobacteria; Vibrionales; Vibrionaceae. The record is from RNAcentral.